GAGAGAACUGAGUUUGGAACACAGGUUGGCCACGUUUUAACUGAAUGACUCUGAUCGAGUGUCCUAACGGUGCUGCCCUCUGUUUCCUCGUCUACCAACUGUAGAUGACGCUGCCUCUCUCGGCGUUGCAGACCAGCGACCCCCACACAACCCCGCAGGCACGGCA
This 166-nucleotide long non-coding RNA is filed under the name Ailuropoda melanoleuca (giant panda). RNAcentral describes it as "lncRNA (ENSAMEG00000024565.1)". The record is from RNAcentral. Lineage: Eukaryota; Metazoa; Chordata; Mammalia; Carnivora; Ursidae.